Molecule: long non-coding RNA, 782 nt
Filed under: Papio anubis (olive baboon)
Lineage: Eukaryota; Metazoa; Chordata; Mammalia; Primates; Cercopithecidae
Description: lncRNA (ENSPANG00000039468.1)
Source: RNAcentral
GGUCUUACUCUGUUGCCCAGGCUGGAGUGUGGUGGCACAAUCAUGGCUUACUGCAGCCUUGACCUCCCUGGCUCAAGUGAUUCUCCCUUCUCAGCCUCCUGAGUAUCUGGGACUACAGGCAUGCACCACCAUACCCAGCUCGUUUUUGUAUUUUUUGUAGAGACAGGAUUUCACCAUGUUGCCCAGGCUGGACUUGAACUCCUGGACUCAAAGAAUCUUUCAGCCUCUGCCUCUCGAAGUGCUGGGGAUUAUGAUUAGAUUCUUGAAGAAUGAGUUCGUUUUCCAGGGUAAUAAGAAGAAGCACUACAGACUAGGAGACAGCAGUCAAGAAAAGGCAGAAAAAUGUGAAGUAACCAGGAGGCCAGGAUAUAUGCACAUACAACUUUUAAAGGCACCUUCUGUCCAUCGCUCUGUCAAGGGAAAGUGCUUUGAAUCAGUGGAUUUAUAAUAUUUUUGACAUCUAAUAAUGGAUGGAAAAAAAUGGAUGUUGGCAUCAUUUCUACCACAGCAACAAGAGCAAAGAUGGACUCCAGAAAGUCAAAACAUCAAGGAAUAUUUGCCAUUUCUUUAGGAAUCUCAUGAUUUUCCCUUUUUGGAACUUCUGUCAACAUGCUUCUGGAUGGUUCUUCUGCUACAUGUUGUGUCGGCUGGGGUUCCUCAGAGUCACGGAGAAGAGGAGACAGCGUGUGCAAGGGAAUGAAGAAAAGGACCAAGACUAUUUUCAAAUCACCCAUGGCACUACUAGAAAAGUAUUUCAGCAAAAAGACUGGCUGAUUUUAUGA